CUCGUCUCUCUUUGUCGGAAACAACGUUGUUGGAGGCAGCAGCGUCGAGCUCCACCGCCGUAAGAAGUGGACUGUGAUUUCUUCCUCCGAUCUGUACCUUUACCAGAGUUUGAGUGUGUUUUUGUUGGUUAUUGAUUGUGUUGUGAACAUUACAAUGAUGGUGGCAAUUCAAUGGUGGGUUGCAGUGGUGUUGUUACAGGUGGUGAUGGUGGUGUCACAGGCAUAGGGUGACUGUUCGAUGGUGGCACAAGCAUUGUAGCGGUAGUGGUGAUUCGAAGGUUGGGGUGAUUUUUUAUUUUUAUUUUUUUUAAAAUGUUUGGGUGACGUUUUUGUUUAGUUUGGGGUGUUUCUGUUGGUGAAUGUUGCUAUGGUGGUGGUGGUUCAAUGGUGGGAUUGUGGAGGUGUUGUUACAGGUUAUGGGGUGGUGGUAAUGGUGCAGUAGUGUGGGUAGUGGUGGUGGUGUUUUUUUUUUUUUUUUUUUUUUGUUGGAGUAGUGGUGGUCGUUUCUUGUUUGGGAUUUGGGUGGUUUUGGCACUGGUGAAGCUGGCGGUGGUGGUGAAUUUGGCAAGGUGGUGGUUGGCGAUAUUGCAGUGGG
RNAcentral lists this long non-coding RNA (595 nucleotides) under Olea europaea subsp. europaea. Lineage: Eukaryota; Viridiplantae; Streptophyta; Magnoliopsida; Lamiales; Oleaceae. The record is from RNAcentral.